Molecule: ribosomal RNA, 847 nt
Filed under: uncultured Methanomicrobiales archaeon
Lineage: Archaea; Methanobacteriati; Methanobacteriota; Methanomicrobia; Methanomicrobiales
Description: bacterial SSU rRNA
Rfam family: Archaeal small subunit ribosomal RNA
Source: RNAcentral
UCUGUUUAAAUAACAGGUUGAGAAAGGGCCGGGCAAGACCGGUACCAGCCGCCGCGGUAAUACCGGCGGCUCGAGUGGUGGCCACUAUUACUGGGCUUAAAGCGUUCGUAGCUGGUCUGUUAAGUCUCUGGGGAAAUCUUCCGGCUUAACCGGAAGGCGUCUCAGGGAUACUGGCAGACUAGGGACCGGGAGAGGUGAGGGGUACUCCAGGGGUAGGAGUGAAAUCCUGUAAUCCUUGGGGGACCACCUGUGGCGAAGGCGCCUCACCAGAACGGCUCCGACAGUGAGGAACGAAAGCUGGGGGAGCAAACCGGAUUAGAUACCCGGGUAGUCCCAGCUGUAAACGAUGCGCGUUAGGUGUAUCGAUGACCACGAGUCAUCGAGGUGCCGAAGAGAAAUCGUGAAACGUGCCGCCUGGGAAGUACGGUCGCAAGGCUGAAACUUAAAGGAAUUGGCGGGGGAGCACCACAACGGGUGGAGCCUGCGGUUUAAUCGGACUCAACGCCGGGAAACUCACCGGAUAAGACAGCUGGAUGAUAGUCGGGCUGAAGACUCUACUUGACUAGCUGAGAGGAGGUGCAUGGCCGUCGUCAGUUCGUACUGUGAAGCAUCCUGUUAAGUCAGGCAACGAGCGAGACCCACGCCAACAGUUGCCAGCUCGUCCUCCGGGAUGGUGGGGACACUGUUGGGACCGCCUCUGCUAAAGAGGAGGAAGGAAUGGGCAACGGUAGGUCAGCAUGCCCCGAAUUAUCCGGGCUACACGCGGGCUACAAUGGGUGGGACAAUGGGUAUCGACACCGAAAGGUGAAGGCAUCUCCUAAACCCAUCCUUAGUUCGGAUUGUGGGC